Molecule: ribosomal RNA, 495 nt
Filed under: uncultured Tomentella
Lineage: Eukaryota; Fungi; Basidiomycota; Agaricomycetes; Thelephorales; Thelephoraceae
Description: eukaryotic LSU rRNA
Rfam family: Eukaryotic large subunit ribosomal RNA
Source: RNAcentral
AAAGAACUACAAGGAUUCCCCUCNUAACUGCGAGUGAAGCGGGAAGAGCUCCNAUUUAAAAUCUGGCGUGCCUCUGGUCGUCCGAGUUGUAGUCUGGAGAAGCGUUUUCCGUGUUGGACCGUGUACAAGUCCCUUGGAACAGGGCGUCAUAGAGGGUGAGAAUCCCGUCUUUGACACGGACCGCCAAUGCUUUGUGAUGCGCUCUCAAAGAGUCGAGUUGUUUGGGAAUGCAGCUCAAAAUGGGUGGUAAAUUCCAUCUAAAGCUAAAUAUAGGCGAGAGACCGAUAGCGAACAAGUACCGUGAGGGAAAGAUGAAAAGCACUUUGGAAAGAGAGUUAAACAGUACNUGAAAUUGCUGAAAGGGAAACGCUUGAAGUCAGUCGCGUCUGCCAGGACUCAGCCUNGCUUCUGCUUGGUGCACUUUCUGGUUGGAUGGGCCAACAUCAAUUUUGACCGUUGGAGAAAGGCUUUGGGAAUGUGGCACCUUCGGGUGUG